Molecule: transfer RNA, 71 nt
Filed under: Loxodonta africana (African savanna elephant)
Lineage: Eukaryota; Metazoa; Chordata; Mammalia; Proboscidea; Elephantidae
Rfam family: tRNA
About the family: Transfer RNA (tRNA) molecules are approximately 80 nucleotides in length. Their secondary structure includes four short double-helical elements and three loops (D, anti-codon, and T loops).
Source: Rfam by way of RNAcentral
GUAUUGUUGGGUCGGUGGUAGGAUUCUUGCCUUCUAUGCGGGAGAUCUGGGUUUGAUUCUCAGACAGUGCA